UACGUAGGGUGCAAGCGUUGUCCGGAAUUAUUGGGCGUAAAGAGCUCGUAGGCGGUUUGUCGCGUCUGCUGUGAAAACUCGGGGCUUAACCCCGGGCCUGCAGUGGGUACGGGCAGACUAGAGUGCGGUAGGGGAGACUGGAAUUCCUGGUGUAGCGGUGAAAUGCGCAGAUAUCGGGAGGAACACCCGUAGCGAAGGCGGCUCUCUGGGCCGGUACUGACGCUGAGGAGCGAAAGCGUGGGGAGCAAACAGG
This 253-nucleotide ribosomal RNA is filed under the name uncultured bacterium. RNAcentral describes it as "partial 16S ribosomal RNA". It matches the Rfam family "Bacterial small subunit ribosomal RNA", at positions 524 to 776 of the family's 1533-position model. The record is from RNAcentral.